UUAUACACCAACCCUAAAAACAUAAGCAGCAGAUUGUCAGCAAGGGAGGAGAAUCGGAAAUAAAAGUCCACUGUUAUAAGAUGAGACAGCUAGUUACAACAAUAUUGCUUUCCCUAAUGGCAUUAUUCAUGACAGUACAGUAAUUACUACAGCCUGCAGACCACUGUUUCCCCCCUAAAUCAUAUUAUGACAUGUCUAAUCUUAAUCAUGAAACAGUUUGCAUUUUUAUACUGUAAUUUCAAUUUGCAUUUGUUUAAAAAAAUCAGUGGAAAAAUAAAUUUGAUCCAAAACCUUAGAUUCUGAAAAAUAACCUUUCACAAAACCUAAAGCAAAAAGGUUUUCUUUAAAUUCCAGAUGAAACAGAUUUUCUUUUAAAAUAAAUAAUUGUUCCUCUGCCAUGUUUGCAACCCUAAUAUGGAAGCAUGGUGCUAGUACAUGAAAUUGAAAUUAUCCAGAAAGAGACUAUAAAUUAAAGUAAAACUGACAUCUAUUUUCAUUGUCCAAGAUGAGAAAAAAUGCAAAAAGUAAACAGCACUGACACUGAUACAUUAAAAUUAUAGAACUUUAAAAAUCUAAUCAGAGGGAUUAUUAUAGCAUGUGGGCAAGGACUUUUAAAAAAUUUUUAAUUUGACAAUUGUCCCUUUAAGAUUAGUAUGUGCUUAAAAAUCAGCAAAAACAAUUCAGCAUACUUAAUCUCAUUGAAAGGUCAUAGUACAGCGGGCUGCCUAGUUAGUUCUUUGUGCUAGAGAUGGACAAAAUGGGGCUGUGCUUCGUUUUGAAUGUGGGUUCCAUUUUUGUCCAUACUUCUAAAAUUUGUGGGGUCUGGGGAGGAUAAUGAUAAAUGGUUCUGGUUUGGGUCAAGACAGAAUCCUGGAUUCAAAUUCUCAGUCUUGGUGAAAUCCUAAUGUCAUUAAAGUCAAUGGUAAAAUUUCCAUUAACUUCAGUUGGGCCAGGAUUUCAUUGCAGGUCUCUUGUAGUAAAGGGGAAGAUAUUUUUUUAACAGCAAGCCUCAUAUGUCACCACAGCAAUUCAAAAUUGACUGGCUCGGAAAUGAGUGCCAUUCAGCUCUCAGGCAGUAAGACUACUUUAGUCCCAAAUGUCGGUUUGGGAGGGUAGAGAGCAGGAAAGCCAAAUAUUAAAUAUACAGUGCAAAUCCUAGUAAGGUUGUAGAGAUACAUUAGAGAUGCACAACAUUUUU
Dermochelys coriacea (leatherback sea turtle) is the source of this 1198-nucleotide long non-coding RNA. RefSeq lists it as uncharacterized. Lineage: Eukaryota; Metazoa; Chordata; Testudines; Dermochelyidae. The transcript is spliced from 2 exons. The record is from RefSeq and is a predicted model, not a curated record.